This 330-nucleotide ribosomal RNA is filed under the name Aeromonas hydrophila. RNAcentral's name for it is "bacterial SSU rRNA". Lineage: Bacteria; Pseudomonadati; Pseudomonadota; Gammaproteobacteria; Aeromonadales; Aeromonadaceae. The record is from RNAcentral.
UACCUGGCCUUGACAUGUCUGGAAUCCUGYAGAGAURCGGGAGUGCCUUCGGGAAUCAAACACAGGUGCUGCAUGGCUGUCGUCAGCCGUGUCGUGAGAUGUUGGGUUAAGUCCCGCAACGAGCGCAACCCCUGUCCUUUGUUGCCAGCACGUAAUGGUGGAACUCAAGGGAGACUGCCGGUGAUAACCGGAGGACGUGGGAUGACGUCAAGUCAUCAUGGCSCUUACGGCCAGGGCUACACACGUGCUACAAUGGCGCGUACMGAGGCUGCAGCUAKCGAUAGUGAGCGAAUCYCAAAAAGCGCGGUCGUAGUCCGGAUCGUAGUCUGC